RNAcentral lists this ribosomal RNA (378 nucleotides) under uncultured bacterium. RNAcentral describes it as "bacterial SSU rRNA". It matches the Rfam family "Bacterial small subunit ribosomal RNA", at positions 29 to 398 of the family's 1533-position model. The record is from RNAcentral.
AAUGAACGCUGGCGGCGCGCCUAAUACAUGCAAGUCGAGCGAGAAGACGUAGCAAUACGUUUGUAAAGCGGCGAACGGGUGAGGAAUACAUGGGUAACCUACCCUAGAGUGGGGAAUAACUAGCCGAAAGGUUAGCUAAUACCGCGUACGCUCCUUGGACUUCGGUUCAGGGAGGAAAGCGAUGCCGAGGGUAUCGCGCUCUUGGAUGGGCUCAUGUCCUAUCAGCUUGNGGUGAGGUAACGGCUCACCAAGGCUUCGACGGGUAGCUGGUCUGAGAGGACGAUCAGCCACACUGGCACUGCGACACGGGCCAGACUCCUACGGGAGGCAGCAGUAAGGAAUAUUGCGCAAUGGGCGAAAGCCUGACGCAGCGACGCC